UGGGGAAUUUUGGACAAUGGGCGAAAGCCUGAUCCAGCAAUGCCGCGUGUGUGAAGAAGGCCUUCGGGUUGUAAAGCACUUUUGUCCGGAAAGAAAAUCCUUGGCUCUAAUACAGUCGGGGGAUGACGGUACCGGAAGAAUAAGCACCGGCUAACUACGUGCCAGCAGCCGCGGUAAUACGUAGGGUGCAAGCGUUAAUCGGAAUUACUGGGCGUAAAGCGUGCNCAGGCGGUUUGCUAAGACCGAUGUGAAAUCCCGGGCUCAACCUGGGAACUGCAUUGGUGACUGGCAGGCUAGAGUAUGGCAGAGGGGGGUAGAAUUCCACGUGUGAGCAGUGAAAAUGCGUAGAGAUGUGGAGGAAUACCGAUGGCGAAGGCAGCCCCCUGGGCCAAUAUCUGACGCUCAUGCACGAAA
Molecule: ribosomal RNA, 414 nt
Filed under: uncultured bacterium
Lineage: Bacteria
Description: partial 16S ribosomal RNA
Rfam family: Bacterial small subunit ribosomal RNA
Source: RNAcentral